Molecule: ribosomal RNA, 495 nt
Filed under: uncultured bacterium
Lineage: Bacteria
Description: partial 16S ribosomal RNA
Rfam family: Bacterial small subunit ribosomal RNA
Source: RNAcentral
GACGAACGCUGGCGGCGUGCCUAAUACAUGCAAGUAGAACGCUGAAGGAGGAGCUUGCUUCUCUGGAUGAGUUGCGAACGGGUGAGUAACGCGUAGGUAACCUGCCUGGUAGCGGGGGAUAACUAUUGGAAACGAUAGCUAAUACCGCAUAAGAGUAGAUGUUGCAUGACAUUUGCUUAAAAGGUGCAAUUGCAUCACUACCAGAUGGACCUGCGUUGUAUUAGCUAGUUGGUGGGGUAACGGCUCACCAAGGCGACGAUACAUAGCCGACCUGAGAGGGUGAUCGGCCACACUGGGACUGGGACACGGCCCAGACUCCUACGGGAGGCAGCAGUAGGGAAUCUUCGGCAAUGGACGGAAGUCUGACCGAGCAACGCCGCGUGAGUGAAGAAGGUUUUCGGGUCGUAAAGCUCUGUUGUAAGAGAAGAACGAGUGUGAGAGUGGAAAGUUCACACUGUGACGGUAUCUUACCAGAAAGGUACGGCUAACUACGUG